This is a long non-coding RNA of Lotus japonicus, 1320 nucleotides long. RefSeq lists it as uncharacterized. The transcript is spliced from 6 exons. Lineage: Eukaryota; Viridiplantae; Streptophyta; Magnoliopsida; Fabales; Fabaceae. The record is from RefSeq and is a predicted model, not a curated record.
AUUAUUUGAAUCCCAAGCACACAAGGCAAUGGCACAUGACCCAUGAAAUAAUUAUUUCAAUUUCACUUUCCAAGGAUUGAAAUAAUUAUCCUUAAAUAUUUUUUCAAUUUCAAAAAUGAGAUCCCACAUUCCCACUUAACCAAAGCAUCAAUCCUCUCACGGUCUCAAUAUUUUUUCCACAAGCUUCUCAAGCCAGAAGCAAUCCUUUGCCUAGCUCCACCACGCCAAGGGAUUCGCGUCUUUCUUCUCUGAAGUCUGACCCCCUCUCUCUCUCCGUCGCGUUUCAUCGGUGCAUCUGGGUUUCCAGAACAAGAGUGAGAGAAGAACACAAAGAUGAGAUAUUGGACCGAAGGAGAUCCAGAAUUUUCGUGGGCUGAUUUCUGGGCUGAAAAAAUUUGAUUGUAUUGGUUGAUGUUGAAAAGAGAUAAGUCCAAAAGAGAUAGAUGACAUGCCCAAAGCAGUAAUCUUUUUCUUUCAAAAGGUUACUUAUUUCACCUGUUUGCAAGGAUUGUUAGAAAUGAUUCCCAGGGUUUGUUAGACUAGCUUCCAUUUUAAGUUCUAUACCCGCUAUUAUGUGGAGACUCACUCAAGUAAGUAAUUUCACUUUUGAUUUUUGAAAUUGGUUGUUCCUAAAAAUUGUAUCUUUUAGGCAGAGGAGGUGAUCUCAUCCAAAUGUGAGAAUUUUUCAUGCAACCCAGGGCUGCUUGCAACAAUUUUCUUUGCAGAUAAGUUUUAUGACCCUUUAAUGAAGUUUAAAACAUUAUAUGGUCAAGUAUUUUGUUCAUCAUUUGCAGACCAUUGAUAACAGUUUUGAGUGCCUUGAUGAAUUUCUUUUCCAUUGGCUCUAACAAUUAUGAACGCUUUUUUUUCAUGGAAUUUGAUUAGCAAUUUUUGGCUGACGAACUCAAUUUUUGAAGCUUUUCCAUAUUAACUUGAGUUUAUAACAUAACAGUUCAUGAUCGUUUUGCCUCUGUUUGUGUAGGCUCUGUGCGAAUCACUUUCGAUCUCUUCCUCUUCUCCUCUGAGAUCUUCCACUGAAUGCAUGUUCCUGCGCUUGCAUUUUGGAACGGGAAAUAGAGCAUAAAUAUUACUGAUGCUUGAAUUCUUGCCAUCUCGUGAAGCCUCCUUGCUGGUUGUGUUGUUUAAGUGGGUGUUUGCUUUCAUUUUGGAGUUUAAGCCAAUUCUGUUUUGGCUGCCCUUUAUCUCCGUUUUGUUAUUCUUAGCAGGGUUGGUCUUUUACUUUUUUUGUACCUGUUAUCCUUUUUAUUUUCGACAAAAGAGAAUAAUAUAUUAUUAAUAGGAAUAAAAGUUAUUACAACA